Molecule: long non-coding RNA, 926 nt
Filed under: Callithrix jacchus (white-tufted-ear marmoset)
Lineage: Eukaryota; Metazoa; Chordata; Mammalia; Primates; Cebidae
Description: lncRNA (ENSCJAG00000080206.1)
Source: RNAcentral
AUAAUAUAUAUUUUAGGAUAUACAUAUAUAGUGAAAAAGUAAAUCAAUGUAAAUUGUGGACAUAUCCUAGGAUGACCCUCAAUGAGUCACACCAUUGUAUAGUCUCCUCCCUUGCAGUAUAGGCUUCUAACCAAUAGUUUAUUGCAAAGGUGGUGGAAUGUCAUUCUUCUAUUUUCACAGACAGAAGGGAAACAAUCUCCUACUGACCCUGAAGUAAGCUGACAUGUUGCGAUGUUGUAAGUCUAUGACGAAACCUAUGUGACAAAGGACUCUCAAAAGCUAGAAGUGUCCCCAAGCCAGUGACCAGUAGAAGGAACUAAAUAAUUCUUCUCUUGAUUACUAUCUCACAAGUGCUCUGGUGACACCAACAAAGUUAAGAAAUUAUUCCAACAAGUAAGAAAGAUCUUGUCCAGCCUUUCCUUUUUAUCUAGAAUCGAAUAUCAGGCAGAUAAGAGUUAUCAGUAAAGGUCAUCCUCAAUUUCUGUACAGAAAUGAUCUGUCUCCGGUCAUGACGGUUAAUGCUGCUAAAAAAUCUCAUCACUGCUUUUGAUCACUGUAUUGUCUUCCCUGUAUUAUCAGAAUUUUGUGAAGGAGAAUUUCUUAAUCAAAGUGAAACAUCAUUCUAAACAGUGAAUGUGAUGCUGCUUGUUAACAACAGAAAAACUAUUUCAAUAUAUAGCAAACACCGUUCCCCCACUCAUCUUAUAUCACAAGUACUGCAUGGAUAACAGGUAUCUAAUAUUUGUGUCAUACCUAAAAAGUCAUUUUCAUGACCAGUGCAUUUAACACGUUCUGUGGCUAAUACUAAGGUUGAUGGGUUUUUAUCUAGUUUAACAUCAGCACGUGGCAUAUUUUAGACUUCUAAGAAUGCCACACACUAUAAAGGCAUAGAUUAUUACCAUCCAACUACAAACAAGAGAAAACAC